UCCGAGCCGAACGAUCCCAAUGCCAUGGCGCUCGCCACCGUGGACCCCGACGGGCUGCCGGAUGUGCGGAUGGUGCUGCUGAAGGGCUUCGAUACCGCCGGUUUUGUGUUUUACAGCCACAUCGACAGCGCAAAGGGCCGGGAGCUCGCCGCCACCCCCAAAGCCGCGCUGCUGUUUCACUGGAAGUCGCUGCGCCGGCAGGUCCGCAUCCGCGGGACGGUGAGCCGGGUCACCGACGCCGAGGCCGAUGCCUAUUUCGCGA
Molecule: unclassified non-coding RNA, 262 nt
Filed under: Hevea brasiliensis (rubber tree)
Lineage: Eukaryota; Viridiplantae; Streptophyta; Magnoliopsida; Malpighiales; Euphorbiaceae
Source: RNAcentral